RNAcentral lists this ribosomal RNA (649 nucleotides) under Niabella sp. RNAcentral's name for it is "partial 23S ribosomal RNA". It matches the Rfam family "Bacterial large subunit ribosomal RNA", at positions 87 to 741 of the family's 2925-position model. The record is from RNAcentral. Lineage: Bacteria; Pseudomonadati; Bacteroidota; Chitinophagia; Chitinophagales; Chitinophagaceae.
GGCACACACACUUUGAUCCGGAGAUGUCCGAAUGAGGAAACUCAUCAUUUUAUGAUAUCAUUCACUGAAUACAUAGGUGUCUGAAGCUAACGAGGGGAAGUGAAACAUCUCAGUACCCUCAGGAAGAGAAAUCAAUUCCGAGAUUACCUUAGUAGUGGCGAGCGAACGGGUAAGAGCCUAAACCUUAAUCAUUAAUUUGAUUGAGGGGUCGUGGGACCGCAAUGUGCGACUCGAGAGGUUAGAACAACAGUCUGGAAAGUCUGGCGAGACAGGGUGAUAGCCCCGUGUUCGAAAACCUCAGAAGCGCUAGCGGCAUCCCGAGUACCACAAAACACGUGAAAUUUUGUGGGAAUCUGUGAGGACCACCUCAUAAGGCUAAAUAUUCCUUAGUGACCGAUAGAGAACAAGUACCGUGAGGGAAAGGUGAAAAGAACCCCGAGAGGGGAGUGAAAUAGAACCUGAAACCGUAAGCUUACAAGCAGUUAGAGCCCCUUAAGUGGGUGAUAGCGUACCUUUUGCAUAAUGAGUCAGCGAGUUAUGUUUGCAAGCGAGAUUAAGCCGUUGAAGGUGUAGUCGUAGCGAAAGCGAGUCUGAAUAGGGCGUUUAGUUUGCAGGCAUAGACCCGAAACCCGGUGAUCUAAUCAUGGAC